CAGAGAGUGGUUUAAUUUAAAAAUAUUAGUUUUGGAUAUUGAUGAUAGGAGAUUCCUUUCUCUGA
Molecule: transfer RNA, 65 nt
Filed under: Mastinocerus sp. MAS01
Lineage: Eukaryota; Metazoa; Arthropoda; Insecta; Coleoptera; Phengodidae
Description: tRNA-Pro
Source: RNAcentral